UUAGCUCAGUGAUGGAGCACUCACCCUCGCUUCUUCAUGUGUUUACCAGGUAUACAGGUAACCACUCCUCUUAGCUCAGUGAUGGAGCACUCACCCUCGCUUCUUCAUGUGUUUACCAGGUAUACAGGUAACCCUCCUCUUAGCUCAGUGAUGGAGCACUCACCCUCGCUUCUUCAUGUGUUUACCAGGUAUACAGGUAACCCUCCUCUUAGCUCAGUGAUGGAGCACUCACCCUCGCUUCUUCAUGUGUUUACCAGGUAUACAGGUAACCACUCCUCUUAGCUCAGUGAUGGAGCACUCACCCUCGCUUCUUCAUGUGUUUACCAGGUAUACAGGUAACCACUCCUCUUAGCUCAGUGAUGGAGCACUCACCCUCGCUUCUUCAUGUGUUUACCAGGUAUACAGGUAACCACUCCUCUUAGCUCAGUGAUGGAGCACUCACCCUCGCUUCUUCAUGUGUUUACCAGGUAUACAGGUAACCACUCCUCUUAGCUCAGUGAUGGAGCACACACCCUCGCUUCUUCAUGUGUUUACCAGGUAUACAGGUAACCCUCCUCUUAGCUCAGUGAUGGAGCACUCACCCUCGCUUCUUCAUGUGUUUACCAGGUAUACAGGUAACCCUCCUCUUAGCUCAGUGAUGGAGCACUCACCCUCGCUUCUUCAUGUGUUUACCAGGUAUACAGGUAACCACUCCUCUUAGCUCAGUGAUGGAGCACUCACCCUCGCUUCUUCAUGUGUUUACCAGGUAUACAGGUAACCACUCCUCUUAGCUCAGUGAUGGAGCACUCACCCUCGCUUCUUCAUGUGUUUACCAGGUAUACAGGUAACCCUCCUCUUAGCUCAGUGAUGGAGCACUCACCCUCGCUUCUUCAUGUGUUUACCAGGUAU
Molecule: long non-coding RNA, 888 nt
Organism: Polyodon spathula (Mississippi paddlefish)
Lineage: Eukaryota; Metazoa; Chordata; Actinopteri; Acipenseriformes; Polyodontidae
Exons: 3
Source: RefSeq, a predicted model, not a curated record